UGAUCAACAAGGGAUCUCUAAUCCUCGUUAUGAGAGGAUGAAUACUCUAAGAUAUGAUUCAGGAAUCUUCGGCCAAAGUAUCGAGCGUAAUAAUGGAAAUCGUUCCUAUAACGACUCAAUAGAAUCAUAUAACUUGAUAUAAUCAUAUUAGGGGUUUGACAUUAAAUAUCCAUACCCUAGUAAUGUGAUUGUGAGUAUUGUAUUAGAGAAUGAUCGAAUUAUAUUGUAAUUCCAACUGAAUAGGUUCUCUGAACAAAUUCUACAUUAGCUUGGGUAGCCAUGAUAUAUGGUUAGAUGUCACUCAUGGCUUGUGAGUUCUUCUAUAUGAUUAAAUAAGUAUUCAUCAAAGAAGAAGGAGAAUUAAAAGUAAGUUUUAAUUCACUAAGUGAUUGGAUAAAUAAUAAUCAAUUGGAUUGAUACCAAUCACCUCACUGCCUUGCUAAUUAGAACCUAAAAUGAUUGUACAUCGAAACACUCUUGUGGUGAGACAACUAAGGAUGAUGGAAUUAAUUAAUUGGAUUAAUUAAGUGUUAUGAUUAAUUAGAAAGUCUAAAGAAAUCAUAUAAACGAUAAAAGAUCGUUUAGGACUUAAAGAAAAGUUCGGGUUCAUUCUGGCCCAUUGGGCCCAAAGCCCAAACAACACAAAGGGGGCCGGCCAAAGAGAGAGAGAGAGAGAGAGAGAGAGUCAAGUUGUUCACUCACUUCUUUGACAUUUAUAUAGAAAGUUUAAUGAAAAAGUUUCAUUAGGGUUUUGUGUGUUCUUUUUCACAAAAGAGAAAAACAAGUCUCUCUCUCUCUCUACACACUUAUAGCCGGCCACCAAGAGGAGGGAAAGCUAAUCAUCUCUCCUCCUUUUGGUUAUUCCAUUAUCCAUCUCACUACACUAGUGGGUGUGGAUCUUUAGAGGUCUUCUACUUUGGAGACUAAAGGAGAAAGAAGCUCUAAAUCUUUCAAGGUGGAGGAAGCUAGGAGGGAGGCUAGACUCAAGGAGUUCCAAGAACAAAGAGCUUGGAGGUGGUCCAUCCUUGGUCUCAAGUCUAGAUCAAGAGGUAUAAAACUAAACCUUCACUUUGUUCUUCAAUAUUUUCUUAGAUGCAUCAUAUAUAAACCUAUGCUUCUUGAAGGGGAUUUGCAUGACUAUAGCUUUGAUAUUAUGUGAUAACAUGCUUCCGUUGCAAAUGUAUAUAAAUUUUGAAUUGUAUAUGCAUGCUAGUCACUAGAAAUCCCAAAUAAAUCUAAUUAUUUCCCUUCACAAUCAACAUAUUUUCUGUCCAUGUUGUGUAUGAAUGUUGUCUCUCUGUUCUUUGCAUGUGUGUGUGUUGUUUUCUAUCUUUAUUUCCACAUGUACCAGCUAUUACACUUGCACACACAUAUGUUCUUCAUUAUUUCAGCUAGCAAUCAACAUAUUUUCUGCCCAUGCCGUGUAUGAAUGUUUGUAGUUGUACGUCAACACUUGCACACACACACACAUGCUGAUUUCUAGCCUUCUAAUCUUCAAAAAUGUCCAUCCUCAUGUCUCCAUGCUUGCACUAUCCAAUCUUGGCCCAAAAAUGCUCCAAAAUGCUCCAAAUAGCACUUUCUUGCCAACUUUGUUAUUGGAACCUACAAACACACGAAAAUAGCUUAAAGUACUAAAAUAACUAGAAUUAAACUAAGUAAAUGCCAAGAAACAAGCUAACUAAGUUGCAUAAAUAUGCUCCUAUCAUAAUGCCUUCCUGUCAAAAAAACUGGUUCUUCCUCUAUCAAAACAUCUUCUAAACCACUUUACCUUUAUACUAUGCUACAUGUUCCAGAUUUAACUGCUAGUCUUAUUUCAGUUUAUACUCUAUGCAAGGACAAUAACUGUUAUGUGAUUCUGGAUGAAUUUGGAUUUUGGGUGCAGGACAAGGCAACAAAGACAAUUCUCAUGAGAGGAAGGAGUAGUGGGGGAUUAUACCAUAUACCACAAAAGCUCUUUUUCAACUACAAUCAGCUAAUAAAGUCUUCACCAAAGGCAUUGCUUGGUCAGCUUGUGCGAGCAUCCUUAUGGCAUCAUAGGUUAGGGCAUCCUACCAAUGAAGUACUCCAUAGUAUGUUGUCCAGUUCUCAAAUCACAUAUAAGCCUGAUAUAAAUAAACAUGUAUGUAGUCACUGUCUUAGAGGAAAGAUGUCUAGACAAGUUUUUGACUCUAGAACUGUGAGGUCUGUACAACCUUUUGAAAGAAUAAGUAGCGAAGUAUGGGGUCCAUCUUCAGUUGUAUCAAUUGAAGGUUACAAGUACUAUGUGAGCUUUAUUGAUGAAUGUACAAAAUUUACAUGAAUAUUCCCAUUAAUAUACAAGUCUCAAGUUCUGCACAUGUUUGAGAAGUUUUAUGCUUUUAUUCAGAAUCACUUUCAAGCUGUUCCUAAGUUUUUUCAAUCAGAUGGAGGUGGUGAAUAUAUGAGUCUUGCUUUUAAGAGAUUUCUGGAAUCAAAAGGUGUUGUGCAUUUGGUUUCCUGCCCAUAUACUCCCCAGCAAAAUGGAACUGCAGAAAGGAAGCAUAGACAUAUUUUAGAAACUGCAAUAACCAUGUUGUCCACAACUCACUUACCCCAUAAUUUUUGGUUCCAUGCAUGUAUUCAUGCGGUUUUUCUUAUCAACAGAAUGCCUUGUCAGUCAUUAGGAUUGCAGUCUCCAUUUUUUAAGCUAUUUGGAGUUCAACCAAUGUUAUCUUCCUUAAAAGUAUUUGGGACAUCUGUUUACCCCUAUCUUAGACCAUAUAAUUCCUCAAAGUUAGAUGCUAAGAGAGAUCAAUGUGUAUUUUUGGGAUAUUCACUGGGAUACAAAGGGGUCAUUUGUUAUCAUAGAGCUCUGAAAAAAUUGUUGAUAUCCAGACAUGUGAUUCACGAUGAACAAACCUUUCCUUUUCAUCACAGUGAGAUUAAGUUUCAGUCUUCAAAAGAUACUGGGCACAGAUUUGGCACAUAUCCAAUUCUUGUUCCUUAUGUUCUUCCUUCUAUAAAUAGUGACAACAGUUCAUCGCAAUCUGGACCAAGAUCUCAGUCAGUUCAUAUAGUGGAUCCAAUGAGUUCUCAUGAUGAUGUUAUGUUAGAUCAGUCAGUUCCAGUGGCUUCAAAUUCAUCCCAGGAUUGUUCCACAUCUCAGAAUCAAGAAAUGUCUUCCAAUACUCAGCACCAGGUUGCUUCCCCUCACACUACUCCCCUCUCUACAUCAACUUACAAUUCUUUGUUGCCUAUCCAGAGUUCAACCCAAUUAGAGGUAACUCCUUUCCUCAAUCCACAUAAUGAUUCAAAUUCAAUUCUCUUAUGCAAACUAGAUUGAAAUCUGGUGUUAUUCAGAGACAAGACUAUAGUGCUUACUUUGCUUAUGACUCAAUUACUACUAUUGAUUGUGAUCAUGCUCAUAAAGAUCUAUCCUUUUGUGGUUAUACUGCUCUUCUAAGUAUUACUGAGUCUUCUGAACCCACAUCUUACAAAGCUGUUGUUACUUGUGAAAAUUGGAGAAAUGCCAUGGUUGAAGAGUUCACAGCUUUACAGAAACAAGGAACCUGGGAGUUGGUUCAUCCACCUUUAAAUAGAAAUGUCAUAGGCAGCAAGUGGGUUUAUAAGGUGAAAAGAGAUCAGUUUGGCAAAAUGUCCUGGUAUAAAGCUCGGUUAGUGGCUCAAGGGUUCAGUUAAGAACCAAGCCUGGAUUAUGAAGAAACAUUUAGUCCUGUUGUGAGACACAGCACAGUUAGAAUUGUUUUAGCUCUUGCAGCAUCAAACAAAUGGUCUCUAAGGCAGCUUGAUGUGAAGAAUGCAUUUCUUCACGGCGAUUUACAGGAAGAAGUAUUCAUGACACAACCACAGGGUUUUCAAGACCCUGAGCAUCCAGAGUAUGUGUGCAAACUGCUAAAGUCUCUAUAUGGUCUCAAACGGGCUCCUCAGGCCUGGAAUUCAAAAUUUACAACUUAUUUGCCAACUUUGGGAUUUCAGGUUUCAGAAUCAGAUCCAAGUUUAUUCAUUAAGGUUCAUAAUCCUGAUGUGGUUAUCCUUUUGCUCUAUGUCGAUGACAUAAUAAUCACUGGGUCAAGUCAUCCUUUGGUUCAACAAGUUAUCACAGAUCUAGGAGAUGUCUUUGAUAUGAAGGACAUGGGGCCACUUACAUUUUUUUUUGGGAUUGGAGAUUACAUAUCGAAAGAAUGGUGAUUUGUUUAUUUCCCAAAAAAAGUAUGUCAAAGAUCUGUUAAAGAAGGAAGGUAUGGAGUCUUGUAAACCAUGUCCAACUCCCUGCAAACCACAUACACAACUUCUUAAAGAUGAAGGUGUUCCAUUGCCAGAUCCUAAGUUGUUUCGAAGUUUGGUAGGAGCCUUGCAGUAUUUGACAUUUACACGUCCUGAUAUUGCGUUUGUUGUGAAUUAUGCAUGUCAGUUUAUGGCAACACCUACUGAUGAACAUUUUCAAUUAGUCAAAAGGAUACUUCGAUACUUACAAGGAACAAUGUCAUAUGGUCUCACAUAUUCCGACGCAGAACAUAUGAGAAUCACUACAUUCAGUGAUGCAGAUUGGGCAUUUGACAUUAAUACAAGGCGAUCAACCACUGGAUAUGUGGUGUUUUUAGGACAAAAUCCCAUUUCGUGGCAGUCUAAGAAACAAGGAGGUGUUUCCCGUAGCUCAACAGAAGCUGAAUACAAAGCGCUUGUCAAUACUGCUGCAGAUAUUGCUUGGGUGAGACUUAUAUUGAACGAUUUGAAGGUCUAUCUCCCUGAUCCUCCUCUCUUAUAUUGUGAUAAUAUAUCCACCUUAGCCUUAUGUUCAAAUCCAGUAUUUGAUAGACGCAUAUUUAUGCAACUUAGUUAACUAGUUUUCUUGCAUUUACGUUAUUAGUUCUUAGUUAUUUUAGUACUUUAAGCCAUUUUCGUGUGUUUGUAGGUCCAAAGGGCUAAGGUAGCAAGAAAGUGCAUUUUGGUGCAUUUUGGAGCAGUUUUGAGCUUGUAAUGGAUUACAUAUGAUAUGAGCAAGAUGGAUGGACGAAUUUGAAGACAAAAGAGGCUAGGAACAUGCUAAAAAUCUGGUGAAACAAAUACAAGUUGCAAGAAGGGAUAAAUUUCUAGAAGGAUUGGCCAAAACUUCACUCAAAACCAUGCAUACCCCAUAAAAUUCAUCAAUGUCGUGGCCUUCCCUUUGUUUUACUUCCACCAGAUUUUUUUAGUGAUGAUGCAAUGCCUAUCUCACUAUGACAUUUGAGUGGAUGAUGUAAUGCUUAACUCACCAUGACAUUUGAGUGGAUGAUGCAAUGCUUAACUCACCAUGACAUGUGAGUGGAUGACUCAAAACCUACCCUCACCAACAAUUCUCCACCUUGCCAUGCCUUACCUACUUCAUUCCACCAGAUUUUUGCAUUAAACAUGUCCAUCCUCUCCCUAUAAAUACCAUGCAGCAACCUCAUUGAAUUCAUCCAGAAAUUAACCAUUCUCCAAGCCUUUCCUUGCCUCUCCUACAUAUCUAAACCCCUUCCCAUCCAUUCCUCCAAAUAACCAACCCUUCAACAUCAUUCCAACCUUGUUGUUGCGGCAAAGAGAAGGAGAAAAGUCCUUAGACGCACUUGCUAUCCAACAUGGAUCGUUGGAACGUUUAGGUGCUUUCUUUCCUUUGUUUUUCAAUGUUUAAAUUUGUUUAUCUUUGUUUUGUAAUAAUGAGGAACUAAACCCCCCUUGGCUAGGGGGGGAUUCGAAACCAUGUUAAUGCUUGCAAUAUGAUUUGAUUACUUUUAACUGCGUUUCAUAAGUUAUGAAUUCGAUUUACUUAUCUAUUUGAUUGAUAACAUGUUUAUGUAUGUUGAUUAGGGAUGCAUACUUAGUUUGCAUGCAUAAAUAUGAUGCAAGAGUAUAAGGGAAUUUCACCUAAUCGUUAUGAACUUAUAUUCAUGAGUAGUAAAAGUCGCUAGUCACGAUUGUGUUAAGUAAAUCCUUGGCAUAAGUUUCAUGCAAAUCAUAGUAACGAGUGCCUCGUCAAUGCUUAUGUUUUUCAUAGAACUUAAUGAUUCUUGCUUGUAUCUCUAUUUAUGCAAUUCAUGUAGGGAACUUGUAAGGAAUGUUUUGGGUUGUCGUAUGCAAUCAUCCAACCCAAUAACUUAUGGAAAAACUGAGGGUUAAUUAGUGCAAUUCACGGUUAAUUUGGGGCGUUGAGAAUUAAUAAGUUAUUGAAAUGCAAUUGGAAAUCAUUUUGUAUGCAAGCAAGACAUGUGUGGAGAAGAACCCCUUAGCUAGCCUUCCAUUAUCCAUUCAACCCAAAUUUGUUUAAAAUCUAUUUAAGUUUUUAGUUUAUUCGUUUUUACUUUCAACUUCACCAAACUCAAAUCCCCCUUUUACUUUCUUGUUUUAAAAUCUUUUGUUUACAUUUUUAACUUUGUUUUUAUGUUUUUAAAUUAGUUUUCAAGUGAUUUAGCAAUCCCUCCUAAUCCCCGGCCUAGAACGAUACCCUACUUACAUCUAUACUACAAUUGUCAAAAAGAGGGUUUAAUUUGUGUGCUUAUAUAUUUCGCAUCAAAUUUUGGCGCCGUUGCCGGGGAUUAGCAACUUUGCUAAUCCCUUUAUUGUUUCUUUUUAUUUCUUUUUUUUGUGUGUUUUAAUUUUAGUUUUAAUUUUAUUUGAUUUUGUUUAUUUUAGGUACUAGUUUAUGACUCGUAGUUCUCAACCAGUUCGUGCACAUAUAUCGGAGUUUGACAACAAUUUUGAACGAACUUUGAGAAGGAAAAGGAAAGUACCAGAACCUAGUCCACCUAGUUCUAGUUCUGAAUCCGAAUUUGAAGAAAAGGAGGAGACAGAAAAAGACAUGGAAGUGGACAAUCGAACAAUCAAAGAACUUUCAGCCUCGGGAUUGGACAAUGUUGCGCCUCUAUGCAUCCAAUACCCCGCAGCAGCCCAAGGAAAGACAGAAGAAUUUGAAUUGAAGUCAAGCUUGUUACACCACAUUCCGAAGUACCAUGGGUUGUCCAUGGAAGAUCCUAACAAACACUUGAAAGAAUUUGAGGUGGUGUGUUCGAGCAUGACCCCCGUCAAUGUCGAUGGGAGUAUUUUGAAGAUGAAAGCCUUCCCUUUUUCUCUCUUGGAAAAGGCGAAGGAUUGGUUGUACGAAUUGGCGCCCGGAACCGUCACAUCAUGGGAAAGCAUGAAACGGGCCUUCUUGGAGAAGUUUUUCCCAACUUCUCGAGUCAUCCUCCUACGGAAAAGGAUAAGUGGAAUUCAACAAGAGGAAGGUGAAUCUUUUCCUACUUAUUAUGAACGUUUUAAAUCUCUUGUUGCUUCUUGUCCACAACAUCAGAUGAAGGAGGAACUUCUUUUGCAAUACUUCUACGAGGGGCUACUACCUAUCGAACGUCAAAUGCUAGAUGCCUCGGCGGGAGGAGCCUUGGUGGACAAGACCCCCACGGCAGCAAAGACUUUAAUUUCCAACCGUGCGUUGAAUGCUCAACAAUACGAAGGCGUUGGACAAAGGAGUAACCCACGACCACAUCAAGUCAAUGAGGUAAGUGCCAUAACCGAACUUCAAAAUCAAAUGGCUAACCUUACUACUUUUGCUUUCUCAGGUAGUGGAAGGUCCAAAAGUGCAAAACGUGGCAGCUUGUGGCGUGUGUUCCAUGCAAGGCCACCUUACGGACAAGUGCCCACAGUUGAUAGAAAAUGGAGGGUGGGAGACCCUCAAUGCCGUGGGAUUUGGCAACCAAUACCAACCAAGGAAUGACCCCUUUUCCAAUACUUACAAUCCCGGUUGGCGUGAUCAUCCAAAUUUCAAAUGGCGAGAACCCCAACAAGGCCAACAACAAAGCGGAUUUAGGCAACAACCCCCGGGUUUCUAUCAAAAGCCAUUUGCACCAACUCAACCCCAAGCACAACCUGCCCAAAAAUCAGGUUCGUCUAUUGAUAAUGAUCAAAUUUUUAAUUUACUAACUUCUAUGGCGCAGGGAAUGCAAAAUAGGGACAAAAAGGUGGACGAGUUGGAGAAACAAGUAGGGCAAAUUGCCGAGUUCAUGGGGCAGUUUCGAGAGCAAGGCAGGUUGCCUAGCUCAACCAUUGCAAAUCCAAAAGGAGGCUUUGAAUCUGCCAAGGCAAUCAUGUUAAGAAGCGGGAAACAAGUUGGAACAGCCCCACCACCAUCCAAAUCAGCCCCAAACAAGGUGGAGGAAGUGAUAAUUGAAGAGGAGGAACAAGGGUUGGCCACGGCAAGGAAAGAGGUUCCUUUGCAGCAAGUCUCCAUGGCUCCUAAGCCAUCCAAUCUGCCAAAUAAAGGUACAACCGUGUCCAAUUCCAUUCCUACUAAUGAUUUUCCUUUGAAUGUCCCCUUUCCUAGUAGGUUCAAGCAAACAAAGAAAGAAGAAGCUGAAAAGGACAUUCUAGAGACGUUCCGGAAAGUGCAAGUCAAUAUACCUCUCCUUGACGCAAUUAAGCAAGUACCUAGGUACGCCAAGUUUUUGAAGGAACUAUGUACAACAAGAAAGAGAAUUUCAAACAAAGAGGUUGUCCAGGUAAGUGAGAAUGUUUCCGCUGUUUUGCAAAGAAAAUUACCUCCUAAAUGCAAAGAUCCGGGAAGUUUUACAAUUCCAUGUGUUAUUGGCAAUACUAAAUUUGAACAUGCUAUGUUAGAUCUAGGAGCCUCAAUUAACGUCAUGCCAUACUCAAUUUAUGCAUCAAUGAACUUAGGAGAACUUAAAAACGAUGGUGUUAUAAUUCAAUUAGCCGAUCGUUCUAAUGCAUAUCCGAAAGGAGUUUUGGAGGAUGUAUUGGUGCAGGUGGAUAACUUGAUAUUUCCAGCGGAUUUCUACGUUUUAGAGAUGGAGGACUCACCAAAUGUCACCCAAUUGCCAAUUCUACUUGGGAGGCCAUUCAUGAAAACAGCACGCACCAAGAUCGAUGUGUUCAAAGGGACGUUGACAAUGGAAUUUGAUGGGGAGAUUAUUAACUUUAACAUUUCUGAAGCUAUGAAAUUUCCUAAAGAUGAUCAUUCCUGUUUUUCUAUUGAUAUAUUGGAUGAAUUGGCGCAGGAUUAUCUUGAUAUGUUGGAAGACGACCCACUCGAAACGACAAUUGCACAAGGAUUUGGCACAAAACCCAACAUGGCCGUACCAAAUGAUGAACAUGCCGAGCUUGUGGCUGCCUUGGAAUCAUUGCCAAAACAUCAUGGUAAGCCGUCUAACCCAAUUCCAAUUCCCGUUUCCACUAAUACGUUGUUACCUUCUGUGAUUCAGGCCCCCGUUCUUGAGCUUAAACCGUUGCCGGAUCAUUUAAAGUAUGCAUUCUUGGGAGAGGAAGAGACGUUGCCCAUCAUUGUCUCUUCAUCACUCACGGCAUUAGAGGAAGAAAAGUUGAUUCGGGUGUUGAAAGAGCACAAAACAGCCAUCGGAUGGACAUUGGCCGAUAUUAAGGGAAUUAGCCCUACAACGUGCAUGCAUCGCAUCUUUCUAGAGGAGGGGGCUAAACCAACUCGAGAGGCUCAACGCCGACUCAACCCUCCAAUGAUGGAAGUCGUGAAAAAGGAGAUUAUAAAGCUUCUCGAUUGUGGGGUGAUUUAUCCAAUUUCAGAUAGCCGUUGGGUCUCACCGGUUCAAGUGGUCCCAAAGAAGUCCGGAGUCACUGUGGUGAAGAAUGCCGAGGACGAGCUUGUGCCAACCCGUAUUCAAACAGGUUGGAGAGUAUGCAUUGACUAUAGGAAGCUCAACAACACCACAAGGAAGGACCACUUUCCACUACCAUUCAUCGAUCAAAUGCUAGAAAGGUUAGCCGGUCAUUCUUUUUAUUGUUUUCUUGACGGUUAUUCGGGAUAUAAUCAAAUUGUCAUAGCUCCGGAAGACCAAGAAAAGACCACCUUCACGUGCCCAUUUGGUACUUUUGCUUACCGCCGCAUGCCAUUCGGUUUAUGCAAUGCACCGGCCACGUUCCAACGAUGCAUGGUAAGUAUUUUUUCAGAUUUUAUUGAGAAGAUUAUUGAGGUAUUCAUGGAUGAUUUUAGUGUCUUUGGCGAUUCGUUUGAUGGUUGCUUGGAAAAUCUCACAUUAAUCUUAAAACGAUGCAUGGAAACUAACCUCGUUUUUAAAUUGGGAAAAGUGUCACUUUAUGGUAAAACAAGGCAUAGUUUUAGGGCAUAUUAUCUCUGAAAACGGCAUUGAGGUGGAUAAAUCCAAAAUAGAUCUAGUACGUCACUUACCCUCUCCGACUUCGGUUAGAGAGGUUCGUUCGUUUCUUGGUCAUGCAGGAUUUUUAUCGUAGGUUUAUCAAAGAUUUUUCGAAGAUAGCACAACCUCUUUGCCGUCUCCUACAAAAAGAAGUGGCGUUUGAAUUCACCAAGGAGUGCACGGCAUCAUUCAAUCAACUCAAGGAGUUGUUAACCACGGCACCCAUCAUUGUUCCACCAGAUUGGAGCCUACCUUUCGAGCUUAUGUGCGAUGCAUCCGACUACGCUUUAGGGGCUGUUUUGGGACAAAGGAAGGACAAAAAGCCACACGUCAUUUACUAUGCCUCACGGACGUUGAAUGAUGCACAAUUGAACUAUUCCACUACAGAAAAAGAACUUCUUGCCGUUGUUUUUGCUUUAGAUAAGUUUAGAUCAUAUCUAAUUGGUACUAAAGUAAUUGUUUUCACUGACCAUGCAGCAUUAAAGUACUUGCUCACCAAAAAGGAGGCCAAGCCACGGUUAAUUCGGUGGAUGUUGCUACUUCAAGAGUUCGACAUAGAGAUUCGUGACAAGAAGGGAAGUGAGAACGUAGUGGCUGACCACUUGAGCCGAAUGGUGCAUAAUGAGGAGGCUUUGCCGAUUUUGGAGACAUUCCCCGAUGAACAAUUGAUGUCCAUAAAGGUUAGUGAGCCUUGGUAUGCUGAUUUGGUGAACUUUUUGGUGACAAAACGAAUUCCAAGCACUUACACUAGGCACCAACGUGAUAAACUUAGGCAUGAUGCACGGUUUUAUGUGUGGGAUGAUCCAUAUUUGUGGAAAUUUUGCCCGGAUCAAAUUGUUCGUCGUUGUGUGCAUGAUUCUGAAUGUCGUUCAAUUUUAAGUUUUUGUCACACAUAUGCAUGUGGUGGGCACUUUGGCACACAAAGAACUGCCCUUAAGGUAUUACAAUGUGGAUUUUAUUGGCCUAGUAUUUUUAAGGAUGCUAGAACUUUUUGCUUAACAUGUGAUAAAUGCCAACGAAUGGGUAACAUUGGUGCUAGGGACCAAAUGCCGCAGGUUUCUAUCCUAAAUGUUGAAAUUUUCGAUGUUUGGGGUAUUGAUUUUAUGGGUCCCUUUCCUUCUUCAUAUGGUUUUAUAUAUAUUUUGCUUGCGGUUGAUUAUGUGUCAAAGUGGGUGGAAGCAAAGGCCACCCGGACUAAUGAUUCUAAAGUGGUUGCAGAUUUUAUUAGAACUAACAUUUUUGCAAGGUUUGGCAUGCCACGAGUGAUCAUUAGUGAUGGAGGGUCACACUUUUGCAACCGGACCAUUGAGGCGUUAUUGAGGAAAUACAAUGUCAAUCAUAAGGUUUCUACGCCUUAUCAUCCUCAAACUAAUGGCCAAGUCGAGGUUUCCAACCGUGAGAUCAAGCAAAUCCUAGAGAAGACCGUUGGGCCAACGAGGAAGGAUUGGAGUUUACGGUUAGAUGAUGCACUUUGGGCGUAUCGUACGGCGUACAAGACACCCAUUGGAAUGUCCCCUUUUCAACUUGUCUAUGGCAAACCGUGCCAUCUCCCCGUUGAGUUGGAGCACAAAGCUCAUUGGGCCGUCAAGAAGUUUAACAUGAACCUCGAUGAAGCGGGGAGUCACCGGAAGUUCCAAUUGAAUGAGCUUGAUGAGAUACGGCACGAGGCAUACGAGAACGCAAGCAUUUACAAGGAAAAGACCAAGGCGUUCCAUGAUAAGAUGAUUAGGGGCAAAACGUUCGCAAUUGGGCAGAAAGUGCUAUUGUUCAAUUCCCGUUUACGUUUGUUUCCCGGUAAGUUACGUUCCAAGUGGAUUGGACCUUUUGUUAUUACUAAUGUUUUUGUUCAUGGUGCAGUCCAAAUCCAAAGCUUGAAAACGGGACACGAAUUCAAGGUGAACGGGCAUCGUUUGAAGCCGUACUACGAGAACUUUGAGGAGCAUACCGUGGAUGACAUUCCCUUGCAUGCCGUGGACUCCAUUGAGGAGUGAAUGGGUUCUUCGUCCGGCUGUACGACGUUAAAGCAAGCGCUACUUGGGAGGCAACCCAUGCAUGCAACAAAGGAAGACCUAGAGAGCACUCCAAAUUCCAGAUUUGCGUUCCUAAACCCUUCCCUUUGUUGUUGUUUUCAUUUAUGCCAUGUUAAAUUGCUUAGUUGCUGUUUUGUUUGUUUGUUUGUUAUGUGUUAGUAUAUGCUUGAAACAUUGAGGACAAUGUUUGAUUUAAGUGUGGGGGGGUAACCAAAGUGUUUUGAUGCAAAUUCGUAGGGUUUUCUCACUCAUAAUUUCUAAUGUUGUUUUUCACUGUUUUUAGGCUGUUUUGGUGAGUUUUAGUGUGUGCUGACUUAUAACUCCGAAAAUCACAUAAAAAUUUGAAAAAUUGCUUUGCAAAACCCAAAAAGAGUUGUUUUUUGUGUGUUUGUUUGUGUCUUAGGGUACCUUCCAACACAAUGAUGAGGAUUUGGUUUGUAAUUUCAUGGCUGUUAAAGAGAGUGAUUAACAUGGAUGAAAGUUUGAUUUACUCUUUGUUUAUGCUUGGUUGUGGUUAUAACUUAUGAAUUUACAUGCAAUCUUAAAGGAAAAAUCAGUUUUUGUAACAUGCUUGAAGGAAAGAACUCAAACUAACGCUACAACCUUGUGAGACUUGAGCCUAAACGUUUAUUUGGAGAGUUAAUAAUCUGUGAUUUAUUGUUUUCUAAGUCGUUGCAUGAUCUCAUUAUUCUUUGCUUGGUUACUACUUAGAAGGCGUUUCAUCAUUUAGUUCCAAAUGCUAGAACUCAUACCCAUUUCAUUCAAAACAUGUCAUUGAUUUGCAUAACACAUAUUCAAGAUAAAGUUGUGUAGUGACCACCACCAUAACCAAAAAGCCGUGAAUCCCCUAUGUCAUUAUGUUUUGUACGUUUUAAUCCCGUUGAGCUUUGUGAGCCUUUUCUUUGUAACCCACAUUACCCUCACCUAGCUUAGAUUAGGACCAUCCAUUAACCUUGUUCUUAAAGCGUAGUAAAGCAUGAUUCAAAUUGAAUUCCUUUGUGGCAGAAAACAAGUGUGGGGGAAGUGUUUUUCAUAAGGAAUUAUGUGCCAUAGGCACGGGUAAAAAGAAAGAAAAAAGAAAAGAAAAAUGUGAAAAGAAUGCGAAAAGAGUUGAAAAGAAGUGAAAAAGAGUUCUAAAGUGUUGUUUGAUGAAGAAGGGGUCCAAAACAAUGAAUUCGACCCUAAGGAGUUGUUUAAAUCUUCCCCUUGUGUUUUAAAGCUAAUUUCUGCAAUCUAAGUAAAUUCUAAAUCUCAAUUUCAUUACUUUGCUUACUUUCACUUUAAGAACGUUUGUUUUCCUUAUCCUUUCUUUGUUAGCCAAUACCCCAAGCCCCGUUACAACCCUUGACUUCUAUCUUGAGUGUUAUGUGUUUCAAUUUGUGGAGAUUGAACUUGGUAUGAGCAUAUGGUCACUGGUUCUCGCAUCUAAGUAGUAGCAUUCCAUUCAUGAGAUCAUAUCUCAACAUGCUUAUUAACUCUAGAAAUUGUGUUCUUUGUUAUACAUAUAUGUGAGCAUUCGUUUCUAUAUCUACAUCAAUUCUCUCACAUAUAACUAGUAUAGGGUGUGUAGUUAGAAAAUCUGAGUGAAAAUAGAGUGCGUAUCUUGUAAGGAUUGAGGGAAUUCUCUAAGGCAUGUUACUACAUUCAAAACAUUGUUUUAAUUGGUUAAUUGUGAAUUAGUAAGUAGUGACUAUGAUUAAGUAUGUGCUUAAGUGUUAAAUUGACUCAAUUCUGUGGGAAUGAUAAUCUUUAACAUGUCAUGUGCAUUGGAAAUCCCUAAGGCAAAUGUUGGAAGGUUAGGUUAUGUUUUAUUUGUUUUAUUUUGCUCGAGGACUAGCAAUAGCUCAGUGUGGGGGAAUUUGAUAGACGCAUAUUUAUGCGACUUAGUUAACUAGUUUUCUUGCAUUUACGUUAUUAGUUCUUAGUUAUUUUAGUACUUUAAGCCAUUUUCGUGUGUUUGUAGGUCCAAAGGGCUAAGGUAGCAAGAAAGUGCAUUUUGGUGCAUUUUGGAGCAGUUUUGAGCUUGUAAUGGAUUACAUAUGAUAUGAGCAAGAUGGAUGGACGAAUUUGAAGACAAAAGAGGCUAGGAACAUGCUAAAAAUCUGGUGAAACAAAUACAAGUUGCAAGAAGGGAUAAAUUUCUAGAAGGAUUGGCCAAAACUUCACUCAAAACCAUGCAUACCCCAUAAAAUUCAUCAAUGCCGUGGCCUUCCCUUUGUUUUACUUCCACCAGAUUUUUUUAGUGAUGAUGCAAUGCCUAUCUCACUAUGACAUUUGAGUGGAUGAUGUAAUGCUUAACUCACCAUGACAUUUGAGUGGAUGAUGCAAUGCUUAACUCACCAUGACAUGUGAGUGGAUGACUCAAAACCUACCCUCACCAACAAUUCUCCACCUUGCCAUGCCUUACCUACUUCAUUCCACCAGAUUUUUUGCAUUAAACAUGUCCAUCCUCUCCCUAUAAAUACCAUGCAGCAACCUCAUUGAAUUCAUCCAGAAAUUAACCAUUCUCCAAGCCUUUCCUUGCCUCUCCUACAUAUCUAAACCCAUUCCCAUCCAUUCCUCCAAAUAACCAACCCUUCAACAUCAUUCCAACCUUGUUGUUGCGGCAAAGAGAAGGAGAAAAGUCCUUAGAUGCACUUGCUAUCCAACAUGGAUCGUUGGAACGUUUAGGUGCUUUCUUUCCUUUGUUUUUCAAUGUUUAAAUUUGUUUAUCUUUGUUUUGUAAUAAUGAGGAACUAAACCCCCCUUGGCUAGGGGGGGAUUCGAAACCAUGUUAAUGCUUGCAAUAUGAUUUGAUUACUUUUAACUGCGUUUCAUAAGUUAUGAAUUCGAUUUACUUAUCUAUUUGAUUGAUAACAUGUUUAUGUAUGUUGAUUAGGGAUGCAUACUUAGUUUGCAUGCAUAAAUAUGAUGCAAGAGUAUAAGGGAAUUUCACCUAAUCGUUAUGAACUUAUAUUCAUGAGUAGUAAAAGUCGCUAGUCACGAUUGUGUUAAGUAAAUCCUUGGCAUAAGUUUCAUGCAAAUCAUAGUAACGAGUGCCUCGUCAAUGCUUAUGUUUUUCAUAGAACUUAAUGAUUCUUGCUUGUAUCUCUAUUAUGCAAUUCAUGUAGGGAACUUGUAGGGAAUGUUUUGGGUUGUCGUAUGCAAUCAUCCAACCCAAUAACUUAUGGAAAAACUGAGGGUUAAUUAGUGCAAUUCACGGUUAAUUUGGGGCAUUGAGAAUUAAUAAGUUAUUGAAAUGCAAUUGGAAAUCAUUUUGUAUGCAAGCAAGACAUGUGUGGAGAAGAACCCCUUAGCUAGCCUUCCAUUAUCCAUUCAACCCAAAUUUGUUUAAAAUCUAUUUAAGUUUUUAGUUUAUUCGUUUUACUUUCAACUUCACCAAACUCAAAUCCCCCUUUUACUUUCUUGUUUUAAAAUCUUUUGUUUACAUUUUUAACUUUGUUUUUAUGUUUUUAAAUUAGUUUUCAAGUGAUUUAGCAAUCCCUCCUAAUCCCCGGCCUAGAACGAUACCCUACUUACAUCUAUACUACAAUUGUCAAAAAGAGGGUUUAAUUUGUGUGCUUAUAUAUUUCGCAUCAGUAUUUCAUACUCGGAUUAAACAUUUGGACACUGACUUCCACUUUGUUCGUGAACGAGUUCAAAAAGGAAACUUGCAGGUUGACUAUAUUUCUACAGAAGCCCAGAUUGCUGAUGUGUUGAGGAAGGGAUUACAUGGUCCAACCUUUCUUCAUCACUGUUGCAAUCUCAAGCUGGGAUUCCCCAGUUGAGAUUAAGGGGGGGUAUUAACCAUAAGAAUGCCAGGUGGCAUAAUCUUUGCUAUGACAUGUGUAAUGAUCCUAUGGUCUUGAUGGUUAUAGUUAGUUACAAGUAUCCUUGGUGGCCAAGUAUUCUAGUCACUAUAUAGUGAGCUAAGUCAUUUUCCAAUGUAAUAAAAACUGCAAUUGAUGUAAUAACAAAGUCUUCUUUUCUUUUCUUUGACCUUUCGCAUUCCUCCCAUCUUUUCAUUUCUGUAUGUUAAGAAAAAUUUGGUUUUUGGUUAAAGUUCCCAAAAAAUAAAUAAAUCUUCUUUGCUGAGCAUUAUAACUACCCUUAGUGGUCACUGUUAUAUAAACACCCCUCGUAUCUUACAUGUAUUUAUCUAAAUUAUGUGGAACAUAUUGUUCUAAACAAUUUAAUUAAACUCAAAUAUGUUGGUGCCUCCUUAUUGAUUAAACAUUGGAUACUUUUCCUUAGGCAAUAUUAAUCAUAUUUACAUUUUCCAUAGGGACAUGUACAUAUCACCUAGCUAGCAUAUAAAUUUCGGAAACUUCACAUAAAAUUUAGAGCUUUGUAUAAUACAAAUGAUGUCACAGGGGUUGACAAAUUAGGAUGCGAAGGUGGACUCACAUAACAUAAUAUCAAAUCAAAUGUAUUUCAAUAAUCCAACAAAUUGGGACAUAAAAUAUUGAUUAACCUUGACAAAUGCCUGUAAACUAUAAAUUAUUGAAGCUGUUGUUAUCUGAGAGUCCUCCAUGCACUUUAUGUAAAGUAACGCGUUAAGACGCUACAAAUGGAAGCAGUUGCUGAGCUCAUUAGACUCAGGUCUC
Molecule: long non-coding RNA, 16743 nt
Filed under: Malus domestica (apple)
Lineage: Eukaryota; Viridiplantae; Streptophyta; Magnoliopsida; Rosales; Rosaceae
Description: long non-coding RNA (MDOM_LNC013069)
Source: RNAcentral